GAUGAACGCUGGCGGCGUGCUUAACACAUGCAAGUCGAACGAAGCACUUUAUUUGAUUUCCUUCGGGACUGAUUAUUUUGUGACUGAGUGGCGGACGGGUGAGUAACGCGUGGGUAACCUGCCUUGUACAGGGGGAUAACAGUUGGAAACGGCUGCUAAUACCGCAUAAGCGCACGGCAUCGCAUGAUGCAGUGUGAAAAACUCCGGUGGUAUAAGAUGGACCCGCGUUGGAUUAGCUAGUUGGUGAGGUAACGGCCCACCAAGGCGACAAUCCAUAGCCGACCUGAGAGGGUGACCGGCCACAUUGGGACUGAGACACGGCCCAAACUCCUACGGGAGGCAGCAGUGGGGAAUAUUGCACAAUGGGCGAAAGCCUGAUGCAGCGACGCCGCGUGAGCGAAGAAGUAUUUCGGUAUGUAAAGCUCUAUCAGCAGGGAAGAUAAUGACGGUACCUGACUAAGAAGCACCGGCUAAAUACGUG
RNAcentral lists this ribosomal RNA (481 nucleotides) under uncultured bacterium. RNAcentral's name for it is "partial 16S ribosomal RNA". It matches the Rfam family "Bacterial small subunit ribosomal RNA", at positions 28 to 507 of the family's 1533-position model. The record is from RNAcentral.